RNAcentral lists this unclassified non-coding RNA (162 nucleotides) under uncultured Nectriaceae. RNAcentral's name for it is "sequence contains ITS1". The record is from RNAcentral. Lineage: Eukaryota; Fungi; Ascomycota; Sordariomycetes; Hypocreales; Nectriaceae.
CCGAGUGUCAAAACUCCCAAACCCUUUGUGAACCUUACCCAUCGUUGCUUCGGCGGGACCGCCCCGGCGCCUCCGCGCGCCGGAACCAGGCGCCCGCCGGGGGCCCCAAACUCUUGCCUUGCCAGUGGUUUCUCUCUGAGUGAUACAAGCAAAAAUGAAUCA